RNAcentral lists this ribosomal RNA (513 nucleotides) under uncultured bacterium. Its description in RNAcentral is "partial 16S ribosomal RNA". It matches the Rfam family "Bacterial small subunit ribosomal RNA", at positions 29 to 523 of the family's 1533-position model. The record is from RNAcentral.
UACGAACGCUGGCGGCAUGCCUAAUACAUGCAAGUCGAGCGAACAGAUGAAGUGCUUGCACUUCUGACGUUAGCGGCGAACGGGUGAGUAACACGUAAGGAAUCUACCUAUAAGCGGGGGAUAACAUUCGGAAACGGGUGCUAAUACCGCAUAAUAUCUUCUUCCGCAUGGAAGAAGAUUGAAAUACGGCUCUGCUGUCACUUCUAGAUGACCUUGCGGUGCAUUAGUUAGUUGGUGGGGUAACGGCCUACCAAGACGAUGAUGCAUAGCCGACCUGAGAGGGUGAUCGGCCACAUUGGGACUGAGACACGGCCCAAACUCCUACGGGAGGCAGCAGUAGGGAAUCUUCCGCAAUGGGCGAAAGCCUGACGGAGCAAUGCCGCGUGAGUGAAGAAGGCCUUCGGGUCGUAAAACUCUGUUAUAAGAGAAGAACAAAUUGUAGAGUUACUGCUACAGUCUUGACGGUAUCUUAUCAGAAAGCCACGGCUAACUACGUGCCAGCAGCCGCCGUAA